UUGACCCAAGAGGAGGGCAUCACUCAGGAAACCACCUUGACCCAACAAGAGACCAUGACCCAGAAUGAGGCCAUCACUCAUGAUGAAACCUUGACCUGGGAAAUGACCAUGAACCAUGAAAGGACCAUGAUCCAGGAUGAAGCCAUAUCACAGGAAACAAUCAUGACCCAGGAAGCAACCAUCAUGGUCAUAGAGGCCAGCAUUCAGGAUGCAACCAUCACCCCAGAAGCCCACCAUGACCCAAAUUGAGACCAUGACCCAGGAAGAGGCUAUCACUCUGGACAAGGCCAUGACCCAGGAAGUGAUCAUCACCCAUGGCCAGCCCAAGGAGGCACGCCAAGCUUCUUCCCGAACCAGGAGGCAUCACAGCUGGAAGGGGGUCAAGAAAACAAUUAUAAACUGCCUCAGAAACCUCUGUUGCUGCUGCCUGCCUCCUGCAGACAGAGGCCCUGCCUCCUGCAAGAACCUGGCUCCAAAAGGAGGGGAUCAUGGAGUCACCCACAGAACCUGUCCUGAAGAGGUCAAGCCCCAGCUCCAUGGCUUGUGAGCCACGGGUUGGGGACUGGUCUGGCUGAGAAUCAGACAGCCCCACGAGGAGCCAGGCCAGAUGUCCAGGAAGCAGUGUGGACACAGGCCUCUCCUGCAGAGGAAGAGCUGUCCACCCCAGCGCAGAUCUCUCCAGGCCACCAUUCCCACUGGGAACUGGAUCCCACACUCACCACCGCAUGCCACAUCAUGAGGCAGUCAUAGGUAUCAUGAUAUCAAUCAAACCAGAAACCCUUACGAGGGGGCAGCAACCUGCUGUGGGCCUGCCUCUUGCCAAACCAAGUCUGCCCUUGGAAGUCCAUAUCCCUAAGGUUGUCUGUUCUUAUACAGACGGUGCCAACAUGCCACAGAACAGAUACACGGAAAAGUCUGUGUGACUGAUGUGGACGUUACAUCGAUCUAUGUGUCUCCAUGAUGUGACAUGAAAACAAUGGUCCUGUGAUGAUAAUCAUGCUAUACUGGCUUCUGUGUCCAACAGGGUAUCUUGAUAGUGUUCCAGCUCUAGGAGAAGACAACUGUCACAUCUCUUCUGUCCUCUGAGCAACACUAAGCUCCUAGGACAGGAAUGUGCUCAAUUUAAAAAGAAAAGAGAAUCUUACUCCACUCUGGGAUGAGAAGAGUACCCCAGAACCCCAUGCUUCCCAACCCACCAACAACAACUCUGGGAAAGUACAUUCCACGGGAUUCUUUGCUGGCCUCAGCCACUGGGUCUGCUCAGAAAAAACUGAGGAGGACUUCUCAGGUGACUCUGGCAAGCCUGGGAGGUAGAUCUGGCCUCUCACAUUGUGAUCCCCCUAAGACAACUGUAUUAUUCACCUGCCACCAUCCCCGGGAAUAUAAAGCCACUGUCCUGAAGAGGUCAAGCCCCAGCUCCAUGGCUUGUGAGCCACGGGUUGUGGACCGGUCUUGCUGAGAAUCGGACAGCCCCACGAGGAGCCAGGCCAGAUGACCAGGAUGCAGUGUGGACACAGGCCUCUCCUGC
This is a non-coding RNA of Peromyscus maniculatus bairdii (prairie deer mouse), 1528 nucleotides long. The record is from RefSeq and is a predicted model, not a curated record. NCBI's taxonomy places the organism in Eukaryota, Metazoa, Chordata, Mammalia, Rodentia, Cricetidae.